GGCACAGGAAGGUGAGGCAAGGUGUUUCCAGCCGGCAGGAUGGAGGACGAGGAAGGCCCUGAGUAUGGCAAACCUGACUUUGUGCUUUUGGACCAAGUGACCAUGGAGGACUUCAUGAGGAACCUGCAGCUCAGGUUCGAGAAGGGCCGCAUCUACACCUACAUCGGUGAGGUGCUGGUGUCCGUGAACCCCUACCAGGAGCUGCCCCUGUAUGGGCCUGAGGCCAUCGCCAGGUACCAGGGCCGUGAGCUCUAUGAGCGGCCACCCCAUCUCUAUGCUGUGGCCAACGCCGCCUACAAGGCAAUGAAGCACCGGUCCAGGGACACCUGCAUCGUCAUCUCAGGGGAGAGUGGGGCAGGGAAGACAGAAGCCAGUAAGCACAUCAUGCAGUACAUCGCUGCUGUCACCAAUCCAAGCCAGAGGGCUGAGGUGGAGAGGGUCAAGGACGUGCUGCUCAAGUCCACCUGUGUGCUGGAGGCCUUUGGCAAUGCCCGCACCAACCGCAAUCACAACUCCAGCCGCUUUGGCAAGUACAUGGACAUCAACUUUGACUUCAAGGGGGACCCGAUCGGAGGACACAUCCACAGCUACCUACUGGAGAAGUCUCGGGUCCUCAAGCAGCACAUGGGUGAAAGAAACUUCCACGCCUUCUACCAAGUAAGCCCUGAGGGCAAGGGGAGGUGGAAAAAUGGGGUGGGGAAAGGGAGGGCAGCAAGCUGGACCAGCUUGUGACCCUUCCGUCACUACCCCAAUUCCCCCUCUCUGCCCACUCAACCCCACCUAGCCCAUCGUCCUCACUCCCCACCACACUCACCCCAACCAGUACCCCACACCCCACAAACAAGAGGGUGUGAGCUUGCAGGGAACAAAAGCAGGAUGUCCCCUUUAUCUGAGACACCUCCAGAUGAGGGCUCUCUGGGACCCAUAAGUGUCUCUGUGAACAAUAAGCUCCCCACGAGGUGGGCUUCCCCUGGGAUUACAGGCAGUGUCUAGAGACACUAGAGUGGUAUCAGAGCUCAACACUGAAGUGGUGCUCCUGGGGACACGGGCAUUGACUCUGAGCACCUCUGUGAGAUAGGCGCGCCCAGGGACUGUCUCCACAAGCUUUGACACCCCACUGAGGUGGGAGCUCCCUGGAAACAGUGUCUCUGCAGUCUCAGAGCUUGACACUGAAGUGGAGCUCCCUGGCACACCAGCGGUGUGUUUGCAAACUGUGGGCUGCCCACUGUGUCCUCUGGGACACAGACAGUGUUUCCACAGACUCCGAACUCCCCCACUGAAUUGGGAGCACCCUAUGACUGGAGCAGUGUCUCUAGGGACUUGGAGCUCCCCACUGAGUUAGGAGUUCCCUGCAGCACAGACAUGGUCCCCACCAACUCUCAGCUCCCCAGUGCAGUGGGAGCUCCCUGGAACACAGCAGUUUCUCCCUGGUACACAGGCGGUGUUUCCAUGGAUUCUGAGCUCUUUACUGAGGUGGGAGCUCCCUGAGACAAGCAUAGUGUCUCACAGACUCUGUGCUCCCCAUGAGACAGGAGCUCCCUGGGUAGCGGGCAGGGUCUCCAGGGUCUAUGAACCGCCCGCUGAGGUGGGAGCCUCCUGGGAUGCAAGGAGUGCCUUUAAGGACUCUGAGCUUCCAUGGUGUGGUGCUCCCUGGGACACGGCAGUGUCUUCACGACUCUGACUUCCCACUGAAGUCACACUCUCUGGGACACAGCAGUGUCUGUAAGGACUCUGAACUCCACUGAGGGGGGAGCCCCCUGGGCUGUCUUUCCAGUGAGUCUGCGCUGAGGUGGGAGCUCACUGGGAAACCAGUAGUGUCUCUGUGGACUCUGACCUUUAUUUGAGGUAAAAGCUCCCUGAGACACUGGCAGUGUCUCCACAGACUCUGAGCCUCCCCCUGGUGGGAGCCCCUGGGAACACAGAGGGCGUCUCCACAGACUCUGAGCUCUCACUGAAAUGAAGCUCCCUGGGACUCCAGCAGGACCUCCACAGACUCUUACCUCCCCACUGAAAUGGGAGAUUUUGGGACAUGGGCAGGGUCUCCAUGGACUCAGAGUUCCCCUAUUGAAGGGGGAGUUCGGUGGCACAUGGGCAUUGUCUCUAAUGACUCUGAGCUCCUGGCUGAGGGGAUUGCUCCCUGGGACAUUGCCAGGGUCUCCACAGACUCUGAGCUCCCCAUGAGGUGGGAGCUCCAUAGGAUUUGGGCAGGGUCUCCAUGAACUAUAAACUCUCCACUGAGGUGGGAGCUCCCUGGGACACAGAGAGUUUUUUUCAGACUCUGAACUCCCAUGAAAUGGAGCUCUUUGGAGCAUGGACAGUGUCUUUAAGGACUCUGAGCUACCCACCGAGGUGGGAGCUCAGUGGGACAUGUGAAGCAGUGUCUCCACGGACUCUGGGCUGCCCACUCAGAUGGGCUGUGUCUUGGACACAGGCAGUGUCUCUAUCAACUUUGGGCUCUGCUCUGAGGUAAGAGCCCCGUGGGACAGGGGCACUAUCUCCUUGGACUUUGAACUCCCACCAAAGUGGAGCUCACUGGGACAGUGGCAACGUCUCCACGGAUUCUGAGCUCCCGCUGAAGUGGAGCUCCCUGGGAAUCAGUCAGUGUCCAAGAACUCUGAGCUUCCCUGAGGUGGGAGCCCUCUGGAACACAAGGAGUGUCCACGCAGACUCUGAGCUUCCAUGAAGUAGGGCUGUCUGGGACACUGGCGGUGUCUCUAUGGUCUCUGAGCUCCUCACGGAGCUGGGAGCUCCCUCGGAUAUGGGCGGUGUCUCCACAAACUCUCCAUUCCCCUAUGAGGUGGAAGCUCUCUGCGACAUGACCAUUGUCUCUGUGGAAUCUGAGCUUCCCACUAGUGGGAGCCCCUUGGGACACAGGGCAAGGUCUCCACAGACUCUAAGCUCCCACUGAAGUGGAGCUCUCUGGAAUAACAGCAGGAUCUCCACAGACUCUUACCACCUCCAGUGAAGUGGGAACUUUUGGGACACAGGCAGUGUCUCCAUGGACUCUGAGCUCCCUGCUGAGGUGGGAGUUCAUGUGGCACCAGUUGUGUCUCCACAGAUGCUGAGCUCCCUAGGACAUGGGCUCUCCCUGGGUGGAGAGCAAUGUCUCCACGGAACCUGUGCUCCCUACUGAGGUGGGAGCUUCCUGGGACAGGGGCAGGGUCUCCAGUAACUCUGAGCUCCCACUGAAGUGGAGCUCCCUAGGAUUCUGCAGUUUCUCCACAAACUCUUACCUCCUCACUCAGUGGGAGGUUUUGGGACCCGGGUAGUGUCUCCACAUACUCUGAGCUACCCACUGAGGUGGGAUCCCCCUGGGUCGAGGGCAAUGUCUCCACAGGGACUGAGCUCCCUACCAAGAUGAGGUCUGGCACAAGAACAGUGACUUCAUGGUGGAGUCAUAGCUCCCACUGAAGUGGAGCUCCCUGACCCACUGAACAGCUGAAUGGGGAGCUUGCUGGCACACAGAAACUGUUCACACUGUCUGACCUUCCCCCACGUUUGUUCGUUCAAUACUGGAAGGAAGCGCAAGUCUGUUUGUUCUCCUGCCUCUGUGUGUGUACAGGGGGACAUCCUGGGAGCUUAUUUGUCUAAAGGAUGCCUGUGUCCUCUAGUUGCUGAGAGGCAGUGAGGACAAGCAGCUGCAUGAACUGCACUUGGAGAGAAACCCUGCUGUAUACAAUUUCACACGCCAGGGAGCAGGACUCAACAUGACUGUGCACAGUGCCUUGGACAGUGAUGAGCAGAGCCACCAGGCAGUGACCGAGGCCAUGAGGGUCAUCGGCUUCAGUCCUAAAGAGGUGGAGUCUGUGCAUCGCAUCCUGGCUGCCAUAUUGCACCUGGGAAACAUCGAGUUUGUGGAGACGGAGGAGGGUGGGCUGCAGAAGGAGGGCCUGGCAGUGGCCGAGGAGGCACUGGUGGACCAUGUGGCUGAGCUGACGGCCACACCCCGGGACCUCGUGCUCCGCUCCCUGCUGGCUCGCACAGUUGCCUCGGGAGGCAGGGAACUCAUAGAGAAGGGCCACACUGCAGCUGAGGCCAGCUAUGCCCGGGAUGCCUGUGCCAAGGCAGUGUACCAGCGGCUGUUUGAGUGGGUGGUGAACAGGAUCAACAGUGUCAUGGAACCCCGCGGCCGGGAUCCUCGGCGUGAUGGCAAGGACACAGUCAUUGGCGUGCUGGACAUCUAUGGCUUCGAGGUGUUUCCCGUCAACAGUUUCGAGCAGUUCUGCAUCAACUACUGCAACGAGAAGCUGCAGCAGCUAUUCAUCCAGCUCAUCCUGAAGCAGGAACAGGAAGAGUACGAGCGCGAGGGCAUCACCUGGCAGAGCGUUGAGUAUUUCAACAACGCCACCAUUGUGGAUCUGGUGGAGCGGCCCCACCGUGGCAUCCUGGCCAUGCUGGACGAGGCCUGCAGCUCUGCUGGCACCAUCACUGACCGAAUCUUCCUGCAGACCCUGGACACGCACCACCGCCAUCACCUACACUACACCAGCCGCCAGGUGCCCCCGGCUGUCCCAGUGCCACCACAGUGGGCUGGUGGGACCUGCCCCACAGGCACCACGCUGCCCAUGCCUCGUGGGGCCUGGUUGGGGACCCAGCUUUGGUGCCAUUGUCGUCACUGUGGCAACCUUCUCUGCCCUGGAGGUGGGGAGGCAGGGCUAUCCCUUCAUACAGACCCUCCACAUACCUUUUGUGCCUUGACCUCAGCCUGUCCCCAUAGCUCUGCCCCACAGACAAGACCAUGGAGUUUGGCCGAGACUUCCGGAUCAAGCACUAUGCAGGGGACGUCACGUAAGGGCCCCCUCCCACCCACAUCCCUAGCUUUCCCACAGGCACCAUGGCAUGUGUCAUGGGGCAGGAGCGCUUCAGGGGAGUGGCUGGGAGACAGGUGUUAUGGCCCCUUCUGCCACCCCCACCCCUUUAAGACACUGAAACAUGCCGGACAGCAGAUUCACAAGUGAAGAGCAGGAAACAGGGUUUGAGGAUAGUGGUUAACCAUGGCUGCAUUCUUCUGGGAGCCUUUAAAAAAUACCCACGUCUCAUGUCUGGGCCCAACCCUAUACCAGCAUCUGUGGGGUGGGGGGCUUCAGGCUGGUGAUGUGGGGGUGGGGAGGGAGUGGAAGGUGCAGGGGGGCCAAGAUUCUGUAUUUCUAACAAGCUCCCAGGUGAGGCCUCGCUACCAUACUUGGACCACGCUCCCAGUGCCAAAGCCCAGGUGUCUUCAGGGGUUGUCAUGAUGGCUAUUAACUUAUGUGUUGCUUGCCGCAUCCCAAAACGAUUUAAGGUGACUCACAUCGAGGUAUAAGUGUUUCAUGAGAACUUCUCAAGGAGAGGGAAUAGAAUAGAUGAUGACGACAAAGCAGCCCAAUAUCAUCUACCUUUAUCUGUUCGCAAAAUCUACACCCAUGAGGUCGCUCAUGCCUGUAACCCCAGCACUUUGGGAGGCCAAAGUGGGUGGAUCACCUGAGGCCAAGAGUUCGAGACCAGCCUGGCCAACAUGGCAAAACCUCAUCUGUACUAAAAAUAUAAAAAUUAUCCGGGCAUGGUGACACGUGCCUGUAAUGCCAGUUGCUCGGGAGGCUGAGGCACAAGAAUUGCUUGAACCUGGGAGGUGGAGGUUGUGGCGAACUGAGAUCACACCACUGCACUCCAGCCUGGGCAACAGAGUGAGACUAUUUCUC
RNAcentral lists this small RNA (5678 nucleotides) under Pan troglodytes (chimpanzee). Its description in RNAcentral is "retained intron". Lineage: Eukaryota; Metazoa; Chordata; Mammalia; Primates; Hominidae. The record is from RNAcentral.